UACGUAGGUGACCAGCGUUGUCCGGAUUUACUGGGCGUAAAGAGCGCGCAGGCGGUCGUCCAAGUCGCGUGUGAAAGCCCCCGGCUCAACUGGGGAGGGUCACGCGAUACUGGUCGACUCGAAGGCAGGAGAGGGUAGUGGAAUUCCCGGUGUAGUGGUGAAAUGCGCAGAUAUCAGGAGGAACACCGGUGGCGAAGGCGGGUCUCUGGGCCGUAACUGACGCUGAGAAGCGAAAGCAUGGGGAGCGAACAGG
RNAcentral lists this ribosomal RNA (253 nucleotides) under uncultured bacterium. RNAcentral's name for it is "partial 16S ribosomal RNA". It matches the Rfam family "Bacterial small subunit ribosomal RNA", at positions 524 to 776 of the family's 1533-position model. The record is from RNAcentral.